RNAcentral lists this ribosomal RNA (563 nucleotides) under uncultured bacterium. RNAcentral's name for it is "bacterial SSU rRNA". It matches the Rfam family "Bacterial small subunit ribosomal RNA", at positions 102 to 694 of the family's 1533-position model. The record is from RNAcentral.
ACGGGUGCGUAACACGUGAGAACCUGCCCAAAAGAGGGGGAUAGCCCGCCGAAAGGCGGAUUAAUACCGCAUAUUAACAAAGCAGCAAUGCACUUUUGGAUGGGCUCGCGGCCUAUCAGCUAGAUGGUGAGGUAACGGCUCACCAUGGCGAUGACGGGUAGCUGGUCUGAGAGGACGACCAGCCACACUGGGACUGAGACACGGCCCAGACACCUACGGGUGGCAGCAGUCGAGAAUUUUUCACAAUGGGGGAAACCCUGAUGGAGCGACGCCGCGUGGAGGAUGAAGGUUUUCGGAUUGUAAACUCCUGUCAUGAGAGAACAAAACCCGCAAGGGCUUGAUAGUACCUCAAGAGGAAGGGACGGCUAACUCUGUGCCAGCAGCCGCGGUAAUACAGAGGUCCCAAGCGUUGUUCGGAUUCACUGGGCGUAAAGGGUGCGUAGGUGGCGGGGUAAGUUGCGUGUUAAAUCUCAAGGCCCAACCUUGAAACCGCACGCAAUACUGCUCUGCUAGAGGACUGUAGAGGAGAAUGGAAUUCACGGUGUAGCAGUGAAAUGCGUAGA